AGAGUUUGAUCCUGGCUCAGGAUGAACGCUAGCUACAGGCUUAACACAUGCAAGUCGAGGGGCAUCAGGAAGAAAGCUUGCUUUCUUUGCUGGCGACCGGCGCACGGGUGAGUAACACGUAUCCAACCUGCCCUUUACUCGGGGAUAGCCUUUCGAAAGAAAGACUAAUACCCGAUAGCAUAAUGAUUCCGCAUGGUUUCAUUAUUAAAGGAUUCCGGUAAAGGAUGGGGAUGCGUUCCAUUAGGUUGUUGGUGAGGUAACGGCUCACCAAGCCUUCGAUGGAUAGGGGUUCUGAGAGGAAGGUCCCCCACAUUGGAACUGAGACACGGUCCAAACUCCUACGGGAGGCAGCAGUGAGGAAUAUUGGUCA
Molecule: ribosomal RNA, 370 nt
Filed under: uncultured Bacteroides sp.
Lineage: Bacteria; Pseudomonadati; Bacteroidota; Bacteroidia; Bacteroidales; Bacteroidaceae
Description: bacterial SSU rRNA
Rfam family: Bacterial small subunit ribosomal RNA
Source: RNAcentral